GGGCCCGCACAAGCGGUGGAGCAUGUGGUUUAAUUCGAUGAUACGCGAGGAACCUUACCAGGGCUUAAAUGUAGUGGGACAGGUCUAGAGAUAGACCCUUCUUCGGACUCAUUACAAGGUGCUGCAUGGUUGUCGUCAGCUCGUGCCGUGAGGUGUCAGGUUAAGUCCUAUAACGAGCGCAACCCCUAUCGUUAGUUGCCAUCAAGUAAAGUUGGGAACUCUAGCGAAACUGCCGGUGCAAACCGAGAGGAAGGUGGGGAUGACGUCAAAUCAUCACGGCCCUUACGUUCUGGGCUACACACGUGCUACAAUGGUCGGUACAGAGAGCAGCCACUACGCGAGUAGGAGCGAAUCUUCAAAACCGAUCUCAGUUCGGAUCGCAGUCUGCAACUCGACUGCGUGAAGCUGGAAUCGCUAGUAAUCG
This 424-nucleotide ribosomal RNA is filed under the name uncultured bacterium. RNAcentral's name for it is "bacterial SSU rRNA". It matches the Rfam family "Bacterial small subunit ribosomal RNA", at positions 917 to 1344 of the family's 1533-position model. The record is from RNAcentral.